This 547-nucleotide ribosomal RNA is filed under the name Curvularia papendorfii. RNAcentral's name for it is "eukaryotic LSU rRNA". The stretch from base 183 to 336 matches the Rfam family "5.8S ribosomal RNA". Lineage: Eukaryota; Fungi; Ascomycota; Dothideomycetes; Pleosporales; Pleosporaceae. The record is from RNAcentral.
ACCUGCGGAGGGAUCAUUACACAAUACAAUAUGAAGGCUGUCCGCAGCUGGAGUAUUUUAUUACCCUUGUCUUUUGCGCACUUGUUGUUUCCUGGGCGGGUUCGCUCGCCACCAGGACCACCAAAUAAACCUUUUUUAUGCAGUUGCAAUCAGCGUCAGUACAAACAAUGUAAAUCAUUUACAACUUUCAACAACGGAUCUCUUGGUUCUGGCAUCGAUGAAGAACGCAGCGAAAUGCGAUACGUAGUGUGAAUUGCAGAAUUCAGUGAAUCAUCGAAUCUUUGAACGCACAUUGCGCCCUUUGGUAUUCCAAAGGGCAUGCCUGUUCGAGCGUCAUUUGUACCCUCAAGCUUUGCUUGGUGUUGGGCGUUUUUGUCUUUGGUCGCCCAAAGACUCGCCUUAAAGUGAUUGGCAGCCGGCCUUUCUGGUUUCGCAGCGCAGCACAUUUUUGCGCUUGCCAUCAGCAAGACGGCAAUCCAUCAAGCCUCCUUCUCACGUUUGACCUCGGAUCAGGUAGGGAUACCCGCUGAACUUAAGCAUAUCAAUA